UACCAGCUCUCCGAGUGGUAGGGAUGAUUAUUGGGCUUAAAGCGUCCGUAGCCGGCUUAGCAAGUCUCCUGUUAAAUUCAGCGACCUAAUCGUUGAGCCGCGGGAGAUACUACUAGGCUAGGAGGCGGGAGAGGUCGACGGUACUUCUGGGGUAGGGGUGAAAUCCUAUAAUCCCGGGAGGACCACCAGUGGCGAAGGCUGUCGACUAGAACGCGCUCGACGGUGAGGGACGAAAGCUGGGGGAGCGAACCGGAUUAGAUACCCGGGUAGUCCCAGCUGUAAACGAUGCGGGCUAGGUGUUGGGGUGGCUACGUGCCACUCCAGUGCCGCAGGGAAGCCGUUAAGCCCGCCGCCUGGGGAGUACGGCCGCAAGGCUAGAAACUUAAAGGAAUUGGCGGGGGAGCACCACAAGGCGUGAAGCUUGCGGUUC
Molecule: ribosomal RNA, 430 nt
Filed under: uncultured archaeon
Lineage: Archaea
Description: bacterial SSU rRNA
Rfam family: Archaeal small subunit ribosomal RNA
Source: RNAcentral